GGAUGUGAGGGCAACCUGGCUGCCACAUCUGUCACCCCAUUGAUCUCCAGGGUUGAUUCGGCUGAUCUGGCAGGCUAGGCAGGUGUUCCUUCCUCCCUCACCACUCCAUGUGUGUCGCUCUGGAAGCUGUGCACUCGGUUGAAGAGGACGACCUUCCCCGAAUAGAGGACAGGUCUUUGGUCAAGGAUAUGCAAGUGGCUGCGCUCUCCUGCUAGAACCUCCAAACAUGCUCUCAAAUGUGUUAUUUUAAAUGCUUUCAAUCAGAAGUAUUCCUGUGCAUCCUAUUUCUGUCCCUAUAAACCUAUUUUAUA
This 311-nucleotide small nuclear RNA is filed under the name Microtus ochrogaster (prairie vole). RNAcentral's name for it is "7SK RNA (ENSMOCG00000009057.1)". It matches the Rfam family "7SK RNA". Rfam says of the family: 7SK was discovered as an abundant small nuclear RNA in the mid-70s but a possible function has only recently been suggested. Lineage: Eukaryota; Metazoa; Chordata; Mammalia; Rodentia; Cricetidae. The record is from RNAcentral.